AGCAGCCGCGGUAAUUCCAGCUCCAAUAGCGUAUAUUAAAGUUGCUGCAGUUAAAAAGCUCGUAGUUGAAUUUCGGGACUAAUAUGUCGGUCGUGCCUCGGUACGUACUGGUUUAUUGGUUUCUCCUUUCUGAAGAACCAUGAUGUCAUUUAUUUGGUGUCGUGGGGAAUCAGGACUGUUACUUUGAAAAAUUAGAGUGUUUAAAGCAGGCUCACGCUUGAAUACAUUAGCAUGGAAUAAUGAAAUAGGACGUUUGAUUCUAUUUUGUUGGUUUCUAGGAUCGACGUAAUGAUUAAUAGGGAUAGUUGGGGGCAUUAGUAUUCAAUUGUCAGAGGUGAAAUUCUUGGAUUUAUUGAAGACUAACUACUGCGAAAGCAUUUGCCAAGGAUGUUUUCAUUAAUCAAGAACGAAAGUUAGGGGAUCGAAGACGAUCAGAUACCGUCGUAGUCUUAACCAUAAACUAUGCCGACUAGGGAUCGGAUGAUGUUAAUUUUUAAUGUACUCAUUCGGCGCCUUACGG
This 520-nucleotide unclassified non-coding RNA is filed under the name uncultured Glomus. Its description in RNAcentral is "SSU rRNA". It matches the Rfam family "Eukaryotic small subunit ribosomal RNA", at positions 569 to 1093 of the family's 1831-position model. Lineage: Eukaryota; Fungi; Glomeromycota; Glomeromycetes; Glomerales; Glomeraceae. The record is from RNAcentral.